GGCUCACCAAGGCGACGAUCAGUAGCUGGUCUGAGAGGAUGGCCAGCCACAUUGGGACUGAGACACGGCCCAAACUCCUACGGGAGGCAGCAGUGGGGAAUCUUUGCGCAAUGGGCGAAAGCCUGACGCAGCCAUGCCGCCGUGAAUGAUGAAGGUCUUAGGAUUGUAAAAAUUCUUUCACCGGGGACGAUAAUGACGGUAACCGGAGAAGAAGCCCCGGCUAACUUCGUGCCAGCAGCCGCGGUAAUACGAAGGGGGCUAGCGUUGUUCGGAUUUACUGGGCGUAAAGCGCACGUAGGCGGACUUUUAAGUCAGGGGUGAAAUCCCGGGGCUCAACCCCGGAACUGCCUUUGAUACUGGAAGUCUUGAGUAUGGUAGAGGUGAGUGGAAUUCCGAGUGUAGAGGUGAAAUUCGUAGAUAUUCGGAGGAACACCAGUGGCGAAGGCGGCUCACUGGACCAUUACUGACGCUGAGGUGCGAAAGCGUGGGGAGCAAACAGGAUUAGAUAC
RNAcentral lists this ribosomal RNA (509 nucleotides) under uncultured Rhizobium sp. RNAcentral's name for it is "bacterial SSU rRNA". It matches the Rfam family "Bacterial small subunit ribosomal RNA", at positions 262 to 785 of the family's 1533-position model. The record is from RNAcentral. Lineage: Bacteria; Pseudomonadati; Pseudomonadota; Alphaproteobacteria; Hyphomicrobiales; Rhizobiaceae.